AGCUCAUCUUCUGGCAUCACUUCACUGAUAGAGUAAGGCGAGAGCAGCAUGGUCGAUGCCCUGCCUGUGGGCUCAUCUUCUGGCAUCACUGCCCCAGAAGUAUUUGGGAAGGCCUCAUUGCCAGGUGAAUGUACUACCAUGGCUGUCUACAUGAAUGUUGAGGCUGACUAGCACCAUGGUGCAAGUGGAGUGACCGAUGAAAUCUCCAAAGUGAAGAGGCAGGUUGCAUCAUGAGUAGCACAGACCUUCAUAAGAAAGCUGUGGGUAUGCCUCAGGAGAAGCAGCCCAUGAUGCUGAUGAGAAGAGCGCCCUCGCCUCCUUUAACCUGGAGAGAAGGGAGAUGGGGAACAAGAUCCUAUGGGACUUCCCAGGGAUGAUUCAUGAGAAUGUCAAACUCAGAUAGACGCCAGUCUUCACCUCCAUCACUGAGGAAGAACAGUUUCUAAGAUUGCCUGAGGGAUCCUCGUCAGAACCACAAUCAUUGAUUCACAAAGGCAAGGAAAGGACUCAAUCUUUCCAGAGAUGCAGUUCCUUGCUUCCACCUUAGUGAUGGAGCAAGUCUCUCUGCAUUUGUACACUACUCAAGGGAUCAAAGGAUCAUACAUAGCGAUUAAUAAUUUAAGCAAAUAGUAUUCACACCACAAAAAUAUGAGUGUCAUUUAGUUUGCCUAUUUUCUGGCAUCAAAACAAGAAACUUCCACAACAAAGUACUGAAGUCUCAUGAGACUGAAAAAUCGCUUUGGUAAGCACCGGGUUCUGGUCUCCUUUACGGCCCUGAAAAUGAUGUAUAAAAAGUCAAGUUUGAACCCAGUAAUGUGAGGGCACUGUUUAUGAGUACAUCCUGGUAAUAUGUGAGGGCGCUAUUUGUGAUUCUCAAUCACAGAAAUGAGGCACUUUGAGGAUGCAUGUGUCUCAGCAUAAAAGAUUACACAUAACUGUCGAGACUUUUUUUUUCAGUUAAAUAAUGCAGUGUCUGGCAUGUAUCUGUUUGCAAAUUGUCUCCCAAAUCUUGUAUUUUUAUAAUUAUCUAUAAAAUUGAUGAUUGAUACCAAAAAUCAAAUUUGUGGUUGUCAGGACAUUAAAUAAAACAGCUUCACAGUUUUCCAAAACAUCUUCA
Molecule: long non-coding RNA, 1117 nt
Organism: Acanthaster planci (crown-of-thorns starfish)
Lineage: Eukaryota; Metazoa; Echinodermata; Asteroidea; Valvatida; Acanthasteridae
Source: RefSeq, a predicted model, not a curated record